UAAGAACCGAGUUGUGCUUGUCUUAUUACUUUCAGAUUAAGAACUGAGUUUCCAUUGCAUAUAUACACGCCGGAUUAAGAACCGAGUUGUGUUGCCUUUACAUGAUGUUAAUAAUAUAUUCUGUUCACAGGGUUUCCUGAUAAGCACAUUGUACCUGAAUCUUGUGGUAUCCAUGGUAGUGUAAUUAAUGUGAUAUCCACAAAUGAAGUGAUUUCCGUCACUUAAAGUAGGUCGCUGGUGAAAUUACGGUUUCCAAUAGAGCGGAGAGAGCAACUGUUCGGAAUGCCUAGCUGAACGAAUGCAUGCUACAAGCUGCGCGACAACCUUGUCAUGAAGGGCCAACUUCUGCGGUCGUUGCGCUGACAGCCACGAAAGAAGCCGUAUCACCGUGGCUUUCGUAUGAAGAUUUGAUAUGGUAAUGUGUGUUGUCUUAUAGCAAAAUUGGUGGCUAGUACACAUUGAUUAUUACCAUUUAUUAAUUUUAUCAUGUUGAUAGAAAAAAAUAAUCAGCGGUUGUUAAAGGUCCUGCCAAGGAACAGCCAUGUAUUCUGCUUAAUAUAUAUUAAAAAAAAAAAAAAAAAUACAUGACAAUAUUUUGUAAUGUCUUGAUUGUCAUUGUUUAUUACUAAAUUAUUUAACGGCUAUGUAAGCCGGAUCUGUAAUUGAGAGCACCUACUAUGCCAAUUGUAAAUUAAUUUCUCGUAACCUUAUCAUGUUACUUGAACGACAGUUGUGUUGUACUGAUUCUAUCACCUACUGGCUUAGUUCCAAGGAAAAAUUAUCACGCUCUCGUUACAUUAAGGAACUUAGUAUUUCCCAUGUAUGUUACAGAGCUUCUUAACAAGAGCUUGUGCUGUGUUGGAAGGUGGCUAUGAUCACGCAUAGGGUGUGUCAUGUUAACCUCUCACGAGUUGUACGCCUUCUUGCGCAUGUGGGGAGCUUCACAGCCUACAGUGACGAAGCCAACUGUGAGUUUGUUCCAUGUAUUUGCUAUUUAAACGACGCCAAUCAUCAUUAUUAUAUUGAGCGGUUGGUUAGUUUGGAAUGCACCGCUCACGUAAGUCUUAACUUAAGGCAUAAAUGGCAUAAUACUUGCCUGAAAAUAAAUGAAAUGUAUUGAUGGGU
Leguminivora glycinivorella is the source of this 1125-nucleotide long non-coding RNA. RefSeq lists it as uncharacterized. The transcript has 2 exons. NCBI's taxonomy places the organism in Eukaryota, Metazoa, Arthropoda, Insecta, Lepidoptera, Tortricidae. The record is from RefSeq and is a predicted model, not a curated record.